This 493-nucleotide ribosomal RNA is filed under the name uncultured bacterium. RNAcentral describes it as "partial 16S ribosomal RNA". It matches the Rfam family "Bacterial small subunit ribosomal RNA", at positions 30 to 523 of the family's 1533-position model. The record is from RNAcentral.
AUUGAACGCUGGCGGCAUGCCUUACACAUGCAAGUCGAACGGUAACAGGUUAAGCUGACGAGUGGCGAACGGGUGAGUAAUGUAUCGGAACGUGCCCAGUUGUGGGGGAUAACUGCUCGAAAGAGCAGCUAAUACCGCAUACGACCUGAGGGUGAAAGCGGGGGAUCGCAAGACCUCGCGCAAUUGGAGCGGCCGAUAUCAGAUUAGGUAGUUGGUGGGGUAAAGGCUCACCAAGCCGACGAUCUGUAGCUGGUCUGAGAGGACGACCAGCCACACUGGGACUGAGACACGGCCCAGACUCCUACGGGAGGCAGCAGUGGGGAAUUUUGGACAAUGGGCGCAAGCCUGAUCCAGCCAUGCCGCGUGCGGGAAGAAGGCCUUCGGGUUGUAAACCGCUUUUGUCAGGGAAGAAACGCUCUGGGUUAAUACCCUGGGGUAAUGACGGUACCUGAAGAAUAAGCACCGGCUAACUACGUGCCAGCCGCCGCCGUAA